CCCAAGUGAUAAGAUACAAAGUUUUUAGUUCAAAGUCUGUUGCAGAAAUCCUUCUAUUCAAGAGAGACAUGAAGAAAGUGGUAUUCUUAAUCUUACUUUUGGUUAUUGCAAAUGAGUCCACAGUGGAAGCAAUGGCCUGUACGGGAGUUCCUGAAUGCGUAGGAUAUCUUCCUCCAUUUUGCUUCUUUCGAUGUUAUAAUGGGCAAUGUGUCAAGAUGUGCAAGAAAGAGUCAAUAGCAGAAGAACCUACCUGCCAAACCCAUAAAGACUGCGUAAGAGAAAUGGUACGUCAUCCAUAUUGCUUCUCUCGGUGUGAUAAUGGAAAAUGCAGUACAAUGUGCGAGAGGAAGUCUACAGAGAAACUCAGCAAUGAAAGUCCUUGAAUUGCUUCUUUAUUAGAGUUUUUUCUUGUUUUCCUAGUCAUCCCAAAAAUGAAGAAUUAUGAAAUGUGUUAGCAGCAAAGAUCUUGUGAUAAUUCAGUUUGAAUAAUAGUAAAAAAUAAAUUGAAGACUGA
Molecule: long non-coding RNA, 514 nt
Organism: Macadamia integrifolia
Lineage: Eukaryota; Viridiplantae; Streptophyta; Magnoliopsida; Proteales; Proteaceae
Exons: 2
Source: RefSeq, a predicted model, not a curated record